Molecule: long non-coding RNA, 336 nt
Filed under: Setaria italica (foxtail millet)
Lineage: Eukaryota; Viridiplantae; Streptophyta; Magnoliopsida; Poales; Poaceae
Description: long non-coding RNA (SITA_LNC002909)
Source: RNAcentral
GCCGUCCCCGGACACGUUCUGUUUGGAGCGGAUGGCACCUUCCAUUCCACGUGUCUACACUUCGAGGGCUUCCCCGCGAUCUUGUGGGAUACCUUGAAAUGGUUCGGGUAUCAGUCCCCACCGUUGUACGCGGGACGACUGUACCUGGAGCAAGGCGUCCAGAUGUGCAACGUACAGGCGGUAGUACCUCCUCCUCCUGUGCGACCCGACUGGCCCUCGUUCGGGAUAUCAGCAUAUGGUCUUGCCCCAGAAGACACCUGGGAGUCCGCCGCCCUUCAGCUCCUUAUUCGUUUCUGUCAGUUACACCCACUGGAGGUCACCCUAGACCCCAUCGGC